Molecule: ribosomal RNA, 598 nt
Filed under: uncultured bacterium
Lineage: Bacteria
Description: bacterial SSU rRNA
Rfam family: Bacterial small subunit ribosomal RNA (bases 1-517)
Source: RNAcentral
CCUACGGGAGGCAGCAGUGGGGAAUCUUGCGCAAUGGGCGAAAGCCUGACGCAGCAACGCCGCGUGCGGGAAGAAGGCUUUCGGGCUGUAAACCGCUUUCAGCAGGAACGAAAAUGACGGUACCUGCAGAAUAAGCACCGGCUAACUACGUGCCAGCAGCCGCGGUAAUACGUAGGGUGCAAGCGUUAAUCGGAAUUACUGGGCGUAAAGCGUGCGCAGGCGGUUCGGAAAGAGAGGUGUGAAAUCCCAGGGCUUAACCUUGGAACUGCACUUUUAACUCCCGAGCUAGAGUAUGUCAGAGGGGGGUUGGAAUUCCGCGUGUAGCAGUGAAAUGCGUAGAUAUGCGGAGGAACACCGAUGGCGAAGGCAGCCCCCUGGGAUGAUACUGACGCUCAUGCACGAAAGCGUGGGGAGCAAACAGGAUUAGAUACCCUGGUAGUCCACGCCCUAAACGAUGUCAACUAGCUGUUGGGGGCUUCGGGCCCUUAGUAGCGCAGCUACGCGUGAGUAGACCGCCGUGGGAGGUACGGUCGCGAGAUAAACUACAAUAGAGUAGACGGCGUGAGACGUGCCGACGGACGACGACGAGGGAGGUAGG